This is an RNA transcript of Oryza sativa Japonica Group (Japanese rice), 2739 nucleotides long. RefSeq lists it as uncharacterized. NCBI's taxonomy places the organism in Eukaryota, Viridiplantae, Streptophyta, Magnoliopsida, Poales, Poaceae. The record is from RefSeq and is a predicted model, not a curated record.
AAAAGCAUAACCAUGCCCCAUAAUUUCUCUCAACUUCUCACGGAUCGAGGGAGUUUGAGACCUCGCCGUAGACAGCGGGAAACGCGGGCGCGCGCGCGCAGCGCAGGUAAUGGCCGCCGCCGUCGUCGCGAUGCCGGUGGCGCUGGCCCUGCCGUCGGAGGCCGACCUGCCGUACGAGGAGGACGUCCUGCGGGACCCGCACAGCAUCCGCCCGUGGCGCCGCUACCUCGCUGCCCGCGCCGCCGCGCCCCUCCAGGAGCGCGCCGUCAUCUACGAGCGCGCCGUGCGCGCCCUCCCGGGCAGCUACAAGCUCUGGCACGCCUACCUCCUCGAGCGCACCGCCGCCGCCGCGCGCGCCAAGCCGCAUUGCGGGGAGCACCCGGCGAACGAGGCCCUGAACCGCGCCUUCGAGCGCGCGCUCGCCACGCUGCACCGCAUGCCGCGGAUAUGGGAGAUGUACCUCGCCGCGCUCCUCGAGCAGCGCCUCGUCACGCGCGCACGCCGCGCCUUCGACCGCGCGCUGCGCGCGCUCCCCGUCACGCAGCACCACCGCGUCUGGCCGCUCUACCUCCGCCUCGCCGCCCUCCCUUCCUGCCCCGCCGAGACCUCCAUCCGCAUCUACCGCCGGUUCCUCCAGUUCGAACCCUCCCGCGCCGACGAGCUCGUCGAGCUCCUCGUCUCCGCUGGGCGGUGGCAGGAGGCAGCCGAUCACAUUGUCUCGGUCCUCAACGGCGGAAGCGACGUCAGUGACAACAACCGUGCUCUCCUGCUCAAGCUGUGCGACCUUCUCGCCAAGCACGCCGACGAGGUCGCCGGGCUCAAGGUGGAGGCCGUGCUCCGCGGCGCCAUGCGCGAGUUUCCGGACGAGGCCGGAAGGCUGCGCGCGCUGCUCGCCGAGUGCUACGCACGAAGAGGGCUUUACGACAAAGCCAGAGACGUCUUCGAGGAAGGGGUGACCACGGCGGCCACCGCAGCUGAGUUCGCGCUGGUGUUCGAAGCGUACGCGCAGCUCGAGCAGAGCUUGGUCGCGGCGAAGAUGGAGAAGACGGCGGACGAGGAAGGCGACAAGCUCGUGACCGGUUGCUGGUUGGCCGACGGCGACGACGGCGACAUGUGCCUGGCGAGGCUGGAGCGGCUGCUCGACCGCCGGCAGGAGCUUCUCAACGGCGUCCUCCUGCGUCAGAACCCGCACGACGUCGCACAGUGGCACCGGCGGGUGAAGCUCUUCGACAAUGACCCCGCGCGGCAGGCGGCGACCUACGUCGAGGCCGUCAGGACCGUCGACCCGGCGAAGGCGACGGGCAAACCAAGCACGCUGUGAAGAUGUACGAGGCGCACGGCAACCUGGACAGCGCCGACGAGGUGUUCGCGAAGGCCACGCAGGCGAGCCACAGAUCGGCCGACGACCUGGCCACCGUGUGGUGCGAGUGGGCGGAGAUGCAGCUCCGGCACAAGCGCUUUGACAAGGCCAUCGCCCUGAUGCGACAAGCCACCGCGGAGCCCUCGGCCGAGGUGAAGCUGCGAGCCGCCGCCGCCGCCGCCGGCGACGACGAGCCUGCCCAGCUGAAGCUUCACAAGUCCGCAAAGCUGUGGAGCUUCUACGUCGACCUGGAGGAGAGCCUGGGCGCGCUGGCGUCGACGCGCGCCGCCUACGAGGGCGCCAUGGCCGCGCGCGCCGCGACGCCGCAGAUGGUGAUCAACUACGCCUCGUUCCUCGAGGAGCGCGGCUACUUCGAGGACUCGUUCGCGGCGUACGAGACGGGCGCCAAUCUGUUCGGCCACCCGCACAGCAAGCCCAUCUGGGACACCUACCUCGAGAGGUUCGUGGCGAGGCACGGCGGGAGCAAGGCCGAGCGCGCGCGGGAACUCUUCGCUGAGGCCACCCGCCGCGCUCCUCCCCACGACAGGGCGCGCCUCUUCCUGCGCCACGCCCGGUACGAGGAGGAGUUCGGCUCCGCCGCGCGCCAUGGCCGUCUACGACGAGGCGGCGCGGUCCGUGCCGGCGAGCGACAGGGCGAGCGUCUACGAGGCCUACGCGGGGCGGGCGGCCGAGCUCCGCGGCGUGCCGAAGGUGAGGCGGGUCUACGAGCAGGCGAUCGAGUCCGGCGGCCUCCCUCGCCGCGACGCCCUGGCGCUGUGCCUCCGCCUCGCCGCGCUCGAGGAAGCGCUGGGAGAGGCCGCCCGCGCUCGCGCCGUGUUCGUGCACGCGUCGGGCUACGGCGAUCCCGACGCCGACGAGGAGUUCUGGGCGAAGUGGAGCGGCUUCGAAGUCCGGCACGGCGACGAGCGCACCUUCACAGACAUGCUCCGGAUAAGGCGCACGCAGAAGCACGCGAAGACGCCUGGGGUUCAGGUGAAUGGCGAACUGAAAGAUGAGAAGAAGAAGAGAUGUGCUGAUCAGCUUGGCGCCACUCAGAGCAAGAGGCAGCGAGUGUAAUCUUGUCAAGCUUUUCUUCCUCUUUCUUUUUCCCCUUUAAUUCUGGCCCUAAAUGUAGUCUACUGUAGUAAAGAUUUCCCUGGUUUCAAUUUAAAUCAAAUUGUUUUGGGGGGAAGAAUAUGAUAUUGUACGUUCUAACGUUCCUUCAAAUAUGAUAUAUGCAUUUCACUUGUGAACGCGAGGCACUGAUUGGUUGGUCCAUUAUUAUGAAGUUUGGUUGUAUGAUGUCACACUAUCUUUUUUAAGUCCCUUGUAAAAUCUUUAUUUGGAUUCUUGUUCAGUUUAAAAAUGGGAAAAUGCCA